GAUGAACGCUGGCGGCGUGCCUAAUACAUGCAAGUCGAGCGAACGGACGAGAAGCUUGCUUCUCUGAUGUUAGCGGCGGACGGGUGAGUAGCACGUGGAUAACCUACCUAUAAGACUGGGAUAACUUCGGGAAACCGGAGCUAAUACCGGAUGAUAUUUUGAACCGCAUGGUUCAAAAGUGAAAGACGGUCUUGCUGUCACUUAUAGAUGGAUCCGCGCUGCAUUAGCUAGUUGGUAAGGUAACGGCUUACCAAGGCAACGAUGCAUAGCCGACCUGAGAGGGUGAUCGGCCACACUGGAACUGAGACACGGUCCAGACUCCUACGGGAGGCAGCAGUAGGGAAUCUUCCGCAAUGGGCGAAAGCCUGACGGAGCAACGCCGCGUGAGUGAUGAAGGUAUUCGGAUCGUAAAACUCUGUUAUUAGGGAAGAACAUAUGUGUAAGUAACUGUGCACAUCUUGACGGUACCUAAUCAGAAAGCCACGGCUAACUACGUG
RNAcentral lists this ribosomal RNA (497 nucleotides) under uncultured bacterium. Its description in RNAcentral is "partial 16S ribosomal RNA". It matches the Rfam family "Bacterial small subunit ribosomal RNA", at positions 28 to 507 of the family's 1533-position model. The record is from RNAcentral.